UACAGAGCCCUCAAGCGUUAUCCGGAUUCAUUGGGCGUAAAGCGUCCGCAGGUUGCUAAGUUAGUUGGUGGUCAAAUCUUUGGGCUUAACUCAGAGACUGCUAUCAAUACUGCUUAGCUAGAGGCUGGGAGAGGUACACGGAACUGUUGGUGUAGUAGUAAAAUGCGUUGAUAUCAACAGGAACACCAAAGGCGAAGGCAGUGUACUGGAACAGUCCUGACACUCAGGGACGAAAGCGUGGGGAGCGAAUGGG
This 253-nucleotide ribosomal RNA is filed under the name uncultured bacterium. RNAcentral describes it as "partial 16S ribosomal RNA". It matches the Rfam family "Bacterial small subunit ribosomal RNA", at positions 524 to 776 of the family's 1533-position model. The record is from RNAcentral.